CAGGCACAAGGAUACUUAAAACACAUUAGCCUGAACUGGAGCUGAAAGUACUCUCAGAAUCUCACCUAAUAUCUCUGUUAUGUGGUCAAACAAUGAAAAUGCUUCAGAGUCCUUUCUUUACAAGCUACAAAGCUGUGCAGGAAAGAUCAUACAGCAAAAUAUAAGAAAAGAGACUAGAAAGGCUAGGAAGAAAGACCAGCGUGGCUUCUGGGAGAAAAGAAAGUUCAUCAUCUUCUCUUCAAAAUUAAGAAAUGCAAAAGCGCAAGCAAUCUAAGCAAGUAAGGAUGGCCUCGUAAACAAGGUACCAACCUGGGACACAGGAGACCUGUUCUGAGCUGGGCCACAAAUUCUCUACCUGACCAUGGCUCCCACAGUGAGAGCCCAUCUGUACCUAAAAGUCUCUUGUCCUGGGAUCCUCCUUCAAAGCCUGGAUAUCUAUUUAUCAAAGAAAGACAAGG
Trachemys scripta elegans is the source of this 458-nucleotide long non-coding RNA. RefSeq lists it as uncharacterized. NCBI's taxonomy places the organism in Eukaryota, Metazoa, Chordata, Testudines, Emydidae. The record is from RefSeq and is a predicted model, not a curated record. The transcript has 3 exons.